UAAUACGAGGGGUGCAAGCGUUGUUCGGAAUCACUGGGCGUAAAGGGAGCGCAGGCGGAAGCUCAAGCGGAUUGUACAAUACCGGGGCCCAACCCCGGACCUGCAGUCCGAACUGGGUUUCUUGGAUAGUUCAGGGGCAAGCGGAAUUCCUGGUGUAGCGGUGGAAUGCGUAGAGAUCAGGAAGAACACCGAUGGCGAAGGCAGCUUGCUGGGGACUUAUCGACGCUCAUGCUCGAAAGUGCGGGUAGCAAACAGGAUUAGAUACCCUGGUAGUCCGCACCGUAAACGAUGCAUACUGGGUGUCCGCGGUUCGCCGCGGGUACCGUAGCCAACGCGUUAAGUAUGCCGCCUGGGGAGUACGUACGCAAGUAUGAAACUCAAAGGAAUUGACGGGGGCCCGCACAAGCGGAGGAACAUGUGGUUUAAUUCGAUGAUACGCGAGGAACCUUACCCGGGCUUGAAUUGCAGAGGAAGUGGUCAGAGAUGGCCUCCGCCCUUCGGGGUUCUCUGUGAA
This 514-nucleotide ribosomal RNA is filed under the name uncultured bacterium. RNAcentral describes it as "bacterial SSU rRNA". It matches the Rfam family "Bacterial small subunit ribosomal RNA", at positions 521 to 1036 of the family's 1533-position model. The record is from RNAcentral.